CGGCAGGAACGUGGAGGAGCUUUACCUUCCAAAGGCUGGCUUAGAGCUUAACUAACCCCUCAGCCCUGCAUCUGCUGCUGCUGUAAGCAGGGAAGAGCAGUUGGAGUGAGAAGACAGAGGCUCACUAGUGCCUUGUGUCUCAUCCUGAUGGUGUCUUGGACUCUCUGCCUUUUCCACCUCCAUCCAGACCUGCUGAGCAGUUUCCUGAGGAAUCCUGUUCCUAAGACAGCCUCUGCAACAGCUUUGUUAGCCAAGCAUGGAAUUCUACUCAUUAGUUUUCCUGUGAGAAUAACUUCAAAACUUAAACCCAACACAGAAAGGCAGAGAGGGAAAGGUUUAAUUGUCCUGAUUCUGCUGCAGGCUGAUAAGCUCCCAUUGAUUUUCUGUAGCCAAGUCUCCAGAGUAAAUGUGGGUGAUGUUCCUGCAGGGAAAAAAAAUAUUUGUGCAUGUCAGUUCUUCAGCACCACCAGCGAACAACAGCAGAAAACAUCCAGAUUGUGUAAUUCCCAUGGAAAAUGGCAUUUGAAUGGAGAAAAAUUUCUCCUUAGAAUGUUAGUUUUAAUUUAAAAAUUUAAAAAUAUAUGUCUUUAUAUUUAUAUAUUUGACUAUAUCUAUG
Long non-coding RNA from Zonotrichia albicollis (white-throated sparrow), 616 nucleotides. The record is from Ensembl. Lineage: Eukaryota; Metazoa; Chordata; Aves; Passeriformes; Passerellidae.